RNAcentral lists this non-coding RNA (23 nucleotides) under Arabidopsis thaliana (thale cress). Lineage: Eukaryota; Viridiplantae; Streptophyta; Magnoliopsida; Brassicales; Brassicaceae. The record is from RNAcentral.
UACACGUCCGUAUAUUGGUGAUU